AGCGUAGGCCGGAGAUUAAGCGUGUUGUGAAAUGUAGAUGCUCAACAUCUGAACUGCAGCGCGAACUGGUUUCCUUGAGUACGCACAAAGUGGGCGGAAUUCGUGGUGUAGCGGUGAAAUGCUUAGAUAUCACGAAGAACUCCGAUUGCGAAGGCAGCUCACUGGAGCGCAACUGAGCUGAGCUCGAAAGUGCGGGUAUCGAACA
RNAcentral lists this ribosomal RNA (205 nucleotides) under uncultured bacterium. RNAcentral describes it as "partial 16S ribosomal RNA". It matches the Rfam family "Bacterial small subunit ribosomal RNA", at positions 568 to 774 of the family's 1533-position model. The record is from RNAcentral.